Gossypium raimondii (Peruvian cotton) is the source of this 1539-nucleotide RNA transcript. It is a transcript of the gene named bystin, with no coding region annotated. NCBI's taxonomy places the organism in Eukaryota, Viridiplantae, Streptophyta, Magnoliopsida, Malvales, Malvaceae. The record is from RefSeq and is a predicted model, not a curated record. The transcript is spliced from 2 exons.
CAUAGAUUCCCUACAACUCAGCAUUAAUAACUGGACAUGUUCCACACCCUCGUGCAAAACCCAAUAGCCAUUGGCUAUUGCUAUCCCAUAUGAACCCACCAGAGUAAGCCAAGCCCGCAGCAGCCCUUAGUGCACCAUUUGCGUUCACUUUAUGCCAUCCACCUAGAAGCUUCUCCCGUCUAAUUAUUCGAUUUGUUUGCUGACCUCUACUAUCUUAUAGCUGGUUUACAAAUGUCAAGGUAAGUCGCGCCUCAUCCCGCAUUCUAAAACUUUUCUCAAUCACCCUUUCAGCAUCAACAUAGUUGGGAUCGAAUCCUCCUCAACCAAAUAUUCCAACAAACAAAACCAAAGAGCAAAAUACCCAUUCCUUGAUCUCCAUUGACAAAAUCUCAGCUAAGUACCAGUCCACACCACAGUGAUUUAGUCGCAAAAUAUUGGUGUAGCACAUGGUUGAUAUCUUUUAUAACAUUCCUACAAAAUUAGUAAACCCAUGCUUUUGUCUAUCAUAUCAGGAUAUUGCCCCUCCUGGGAGACUACCACGUUACCUUCGAAAAACUAGAUCUUCAAACCAUCAUUCCAUGAAGCAAGUUCUCCCACUUGCUUAGUAUGAGCCAGCCACGUAUACUUAAAAGAUAGCUUGGCACCACCCACAUCCUCCAACUCCAUGUCGUCCCCAUUCUGAACCUCUUUAAACUUCACCCUUUUGGUGGCUUGUUGAAUCUCUGGCAGCAUUGGAGAGCUCGGCCGUUCCAAGCUAGCCAGAAGAGGGAAAGACUUCGACAUCAUUUUUUUUAUAUCUUCUCUUAUUAAUUUUCUAGGUGUUUAUUUAUGCUUUAAUUAAUGAAAAAUUUCAUCAUUUUCUUAUGGGCCAAACAGGCCCAGAAGAAUUUGUGCACUGAAAUAUGAAAGCUCUUAUGUGUCUUGAUUACGAAUUUGCCACGUCUUAAAACCCUGACAGUUUCCGGGUACUAAAAUCUCGUUACUCUUGAUCAUAACCGCCGCCGCCAUUAUUCUUCCUCUCAAUCCUUGAUUCAAAAAUUGCAGCCCUUCUUCAAUGGCGAAGAACAAAAGAGAAAGAAACCAAAAUUCGCAACCUUUUCUGGCAGAUGGCGAUUCCGUUGCCUCCUCAAAGAAACGCUCCAAAGCUCCUAAACACCAUCAAAAGCAAGACAAAUGCAGAUGCUUUCGACGGGGAUAAGCUCGAAAAUCUUGAAAGAGGCGCUUCUUCAGCAGAAGGAAAUAGAAGAUGAAGCCUCAGGAGGGAACGUUAGGAACGCAUUUGGUUCGGUUGAAGAAGAGCAUAAUAAGCACGAAGAAGAAAAAGAAGAGGAUAUUGACAAUUUUGGUGGAUUUUUUGAGGCCCAAAGUCAAUUUGGCAACUACGAAGUAAGUUUAUUUUAUGUGAUCAUAUAUUUUUUCAGGUUGCUUUUUGAUGUUAAAUUGUUAGAGAUGAUCCUUUUGUGGGAAAGAUGGGUGAUUUUGUGACAAUUUAACUAUUUUCUCAUUUUUAAUCUAAUUGUAGCAUGAUUUUUCUGUUGA